RNAcentral lists this ribosomal RNA (468 nucleotides) under uncultured bacterium. Its description in RNAcentral is "partial 16S ribosomal RNA". It matches the Rfam family "Bacterial small subunit ribosomal RNA", at positions 28 to 507 of the family's 1533-position model. The record is from RNAcentral.
GACGAACGCUGGCGGCGUGCUUAACACAUGCAAGUCGAACGGAAAGGCCCUGCUUUUGUGGGGUGCUCGAGUGGCGAACGGGUGAGUAACACGUGAGUAACCUGCCCUUGACUUUGGGAUAACUUCAGGAAACUGGGGCUAAUACCGGAUAGGAGCUCCUGCUGCAUGGUGGGGGUUCGAAAGUUUCGGCGGUUGGGGAUGGACUCGCGGCUUAUCAGCUUGUUGGUGGGGUAGUGGCUUACCAAGGCUUUGACGGGUAGCCGGCCUGAGAGGGUGACCGGCCACAUUGGGACUGAGAUACGGACCAGACUCCUACGGGAGGCAGCAGUGGGGAAUAUUGCACAAUGGGCGGAAGCCUGAUGCAGCAACGCCGCGUGCGGGAUGACGGCCUUCGGGUUGUAAACCGCUUUCGCCUGUGACGAAGCGUGAGUGACGGUAAUGGGUAAAGAAGCACCGGCUAACUACGUG